This 403-nucleotide ribosomal RNA is filed under the name uncultured bacterium. RNAcentral's name for it is "partial 16S ribosomal RNA". It matches the Rfam family "Bacterial small subunit ribosomal RNA", at positions 28 to 526 of the family's 1533-position model. The record is from RNAcentral.
GACGAACGCUGGCGGCGUGCCUAAUACAUGCAAGUCGAACGCAGUGGGGACGGGUGAGUAACACGUGGGUAACCUCCCAUCAGAGGGGAUAACACUUGGAAACAGGUGCUAAACCGAUACUGAUGGAUGGACCCGCGGUGCAUUAGCUAGUUGGUGAGGUAACGGCUCACCAAGGCCACGAUGCAUAGCGUACCUGAGAGGUUGAGCGGCAACACUGGUAAUGCAACACGGCCCAGACGCCGACGGGAGGCAGCAGUAGGGAAUCUACGGAAAUGGACGGAAGUCUGACCGAGCAACGCCGCGUGAGGGAAGAAGUUUUUCGGAUCGUAAAGCUCUGUUGUAAGAGAAGCGGUAACUAACCAGAAAGGGACGGCUAACUACGUGCCAGCAGCCGCGGUAAUAC